Molecule: ribosomal RNA, 338 nt
Filed under: uncultured cyanobacterium
Lineage: Bacteria; Bacillati; Cyanobacteriota
Description: bacterial SSU rRNA
Rfam family: Bacterial small subunit ribosomal RNA
Source: RNAcentral
CGGCCGCGUCGACGAAGGCUCUUGGGUUGUAAACCCCUUUUCUCUGGGAAGAAAAGUUGUGAAAGCAACCUGACGGUACCAGAGGAAUCAGCAUCGGCUAACUCCGUGCCAGCAGCCGCGGUAAGACGGAGGAUGCAAGCGUUAUCCGGAAUGAUUGGGCGUAAAGCGUCCGCAGGUGGCAGUUCAAGUCUGCUGUCAAAGACCGGGGCUUAACUUCGGAAAGGCAGUGGAAACCUGAACAGCUAGAGUAUGGUAGGGGCAGAGGGAAUUCCUGGUGUAGCGGUGAAAUGCGUAGAGAUCAGGAAGAACAUCGGGUCGACGCGGCCGGUCGUGGGAGG